ACAGGUCUCACCCAGCUCGCAGGCAGCCCAAAAGUUCUGGAAGUACUCACUGCAGAGACAAAUGGAAAUGAGUCCACUCUAGGAAGAAGAAUAACUGGAAGCUUGAGCUGUGUAAAUGUGACUUGGAAAUGUGACUUCAGGAGAAAGAACCAGGUAGAAAACCCUGAUGGUGAAAGCAAGUUUUAACUGAAAUGAGAAGAAACUGAAAGUUACAUUACCAUGGCUUUUAUGAGUCAAAGAAGAGACAUUAUGGGUAUGUGAACUAAAAUAAUGACAUUUGGCAUGGGGAAAGUGAUAGAUACAGUAAUUUCAAUUUUCUGCAAGAUAGAGAACACACAGAGAAGUAGUGAUUGAUAUACAGUAUGAGAAUCCAUCCCCUAUGAUGUGUGCAAAGGAAAUUAAUAUGACUGGCUAGACCCUGGAAACGUUUAAUACUAUAAAUCACCGGUGUGAAAAAAAAGGUGGGUAUGAAAAUUGGAAUAAUUGGAUAAUAAAUACUAAACAAUGAAACUUUCCACUUCAGUGUACAGAAUGCCUGGCAGGCAAGGAUUUAUCCCGUUAGCCAAAUAAAAGAAAGAAAUCACAAAAAAACAACAACAAUGUGUUUAUCUUCAAACUGGUCUAUCAGUAUUAACAUGCAUUUUUGCCUUAGUAUAUGCCCACAUUCUGAAAUUUGAGAUGUUGCCACUUCUGGGAAAGUCAGCAGAAGACAGACAGCAGACAAAAUCUCUAAAAAUAAUAUUUUUAAUUAAAAAUGUACAUGCAGACGGGCAUGGUGGCUCGCACCUGUAAUCCCAGCACUUUGGGAGGCUGAGGCGGGCAGAUCACAAGGUCAGGAGUUCAAGACCAGCCUGGCCAAUAGGGUGAAACCCUGUCUCUACUAAAAAUACAAAAAUUAGCCGGGCAUGGUGGCAGGCGCCUGUAGUCCCAGCUACUCGGGAGGCUGAGGCAGGAGAAUAGCUUGAAUCUGGGAAGCAGAGGUUGCAGUGAGCCAAGAUCGUGCCAUUGCACUUCAGCCUGGGCAACAGAGCGAGACACCAUCUCAAAAAAAAAAAUGCAAAAAUACCAAACAUUAAAGAUAUUGGACACUAUAAAUAAAAAAGAUUAAACAAAAAAUGACUGCAGAUUCAAAAAUUACAAUCCAGGGAAAAGCACCAACUUAGAAGAGUUUAACAUCCAACUAAUAAGAACAUAGAGUGAGAAAACAGAGGGAAGAAAUUUUCAAAGAAAUAAUAGAAAACAAUAUUAUAGAUCUGAAGUUCCAUGUGAGUCUUUAGAUAAGUGCCAAGCAUGUGAGUUGUAAAUUGAAUAAUAAAAA
Molecule: long non-coding RNA, 1318 nt
Filed under: Homo sapiens (human)
Lineage: Eukaryota; Metazoa; Chordata; Mammalia; Primates; Hominidae
Description: long intergenic non-protein coding RNA 2540
Source: RNAcentral